RNAcentral lists this ribosomal RNA (236 nucleotides) under uncultured bacterium. RNAcentral describes it as "partial 16S ribosomal RNA". It matches the Rfam family "Bacterial small subunit ribosomal RNA", at positions 102 to 334 of the family's 1533-position model. The record is from RNAcentral.
ACGGGUGAGUAACACGUAUGCAAUCCACCUGUAACAGGGGGAUAACCCGGAGAAAUCCGGACUAAUACCCCAUAAUAUGGGCGCUCCGCAUGGAGAGUCCAUUAAAGAGAGCAAUCUUGGUUACAGACGAGCAUGCGCUCCAUUAGCCAGUUGGCGGGGUAACGGCCCACCAAGGCGACGAUGGAUAGGGGUUCCGAGAGGAAGGUCCCCCACAUUGGAACUGAGACACGGUCCAA